GUGCUUCCUACGCAACCUUGAGCCACGAAAACAACACUGACUUCCUCGUACAAAUAUUGACAAAUGUUUGUCAGAUGUGUCACACGUAAAUCAAUAAGAACACCUCCUAAGUCCUACCCUUUCGUUGGCUAUAGUCCAAAUGCCCAGACCUGUAGAACUCAGGCUGUAGUAUCGCCAUGUCUGUUAAUCUACAACAUGGAGUCCCCAGGAGCCAUACAGGAUAUUGGGUUGGCACUGCAUGAGGAAAAUGCCCUUCACCGUUUAGCACACCUCGUUACCGGGGCCUGUGAGACCCAGGGGAGAACAUCUGUGAGGCUCCAGAGGCAGAGAAACUGGGAUUGACAAUGACCGAAAACAUGCUGCGAAAGCAACCCAAAGAAGUGCAAAGAAGUGGAAUAUUCUGCAAUGGCCGAGUAAUUUGCCUGAUCUCAACCCGACGAGGACGUAUUUGACUUGCUGAAGACAAAACUGAAGACAGCUGCAGUAAAGGCCUGACAAAGAAUCACAAGGAAGAAACCCAGCGUUUGGUGAUGUCCCUGCAUUCCAGACUUCAAGCAGUUAUUGCCUGUUAAGGAUUCUUGACAAAGUAUUAAAAAUAAUUAAAUUUGAGCCCCUGAAAUAAGAUAUUUUUGUUCAACCCCUUUGAAUUAAAUCUGAAAGUCUACAC
Molecule: long non-coding RNA, 667 nt
Organism: Esox lucius (northern pike)
Lineage: Eukaryota; Metazoa; Chordata; Actinopteri; Esociformes; Esocidae
Source: Ensembl